GGGGAGGUACCUGCAGUCGAGCGGAACGAGUUAUCUGAACCUUCGGGGAACGAUAACGGCGUCGAGCGGCGGACGGGUGAGUAAUGCCUAGGAAAUUGCCCUGAUGUGGGGGAUAACCAUUGGAAACGAUGGCUAAUACCGCAUAAUACCUUCGGGUCAAAGAGGGGGACCUUCGGGCCUCUCGCGUCAGGAUAUGCCUAGGUGGGAUUAGCUAGUUGGUGAGGUAAUGGCUCACCAAGGCGACGAUCCCUAGCUGGUCUGAGAGGAUGAUCAGCCACACUGGAACUGAGACACGGUCCAGACUCCUACGGGAGGCAGCAGUGGGGAAUAUUGCACAAUGGGCGCAAGCCUGAUGCAGCCAUGCCGCGUGUGUGAAGAAGGCCUUCGGGUUGUAAAGCACUUUCAGUCGUGAGGAAGGUAGUGUAGUUAAUAGCUGCAUUAUUUGACGUUAGCGACAGAAGAAGCACCGGCUAACUCCGUGCCAGCAGCCGCGGUAAUACGGAGGGUGCGAGCGUUAAUCGGAAUUACUGGGCGUAAAGCGCAUGCAGGUGGUUUGUUAAGUCAGAUGUGAAAGCCCGGGGCUCAACCUCGGAAUAGCAUUUGAAACUGGCAGACUAGAGUACUGUAGAGGGGGGUAGAAUUUCAGGUGUAGCGGUGAAAUGCGUAGAGAUCUGAAGGAAUACCGGUGGCGAAGGCGGCCCCCUGGACAGAUACUGACACUCAGAUGCGAAAGCGUGGGGAGCAAACAGGAUUAGAUACCCUGGUAGUCCACGCCGUAAACGAUGUCUACUUGGAGGUUGUGGCCUUGAGCCGUGGCUUUCGGAGCUAACGCGUUAAGUAGACCGCCUGGGGAGUACGGUCGCAAGAUUAAAACUCAAAUGAAUUGACGGGGGCCCGC
RNAcentral lists this ribosomal RNA (898 nucleotides) under Vibrio harveyi. RNAcentral's name for it is "bacterial SSU rRNA". It matches the Rfam family "Bacterial small subunit ribosomal RNA", at positions 45 to 924 of the family's 1533-position model. Lineage: Bacteria; Pseudomonadati; Pseudomonadota; Gammaproteobacteria; Vibrionales; Vibrionaceae. The record is from RNAcentral.